Molecule: ribosomal RNA, 639 nt
Filed under: Triticum aestivum (bread wheat)
Lineage: Eukaryota; Viridiplantae; Streptophyta; Magnoliopsida; Poales; Poaceae
Description: partial small subunit ribosomal RNA
Source: RNAcentral
AUGGCCAUCACCACCGCCACCCUGGUGCUCCUCGUAGCCACCCUCCUCGCGCCCAGCGCUCUCGGCUCCCGCUCCGGCCCGUCCUCGCACCACGGCCACGGUGGCCACGCCAAGCACUCCCCGCCGCCGUCGCCGCCGCCCGCGCCAGCCGCCCCGGUGGCCGCGGCGCUGGUCCGCACCACCUGCAACUCCACCGCCUACUACGACCUCUGCGUGGCCGCGCUCGCCGCGGACCCCUCCAGCACCACCGCCGACGUGCGCGGCCUCUCGGCCAUCGCCGUCUCCGCGGCCGCCUCCAACGCCUCGGCCUCCGCGGCCGCGCUCGGCGCCAACGUGACCGCGCAGGGCGGCGCCGCCGUCGACGGCACCGUGCAGGCGCUGCUCCGGACCUGCUCCGCCAAGUACGGCGAGGCGCGGGACGCGCUGGCCGCCGCGAGGGGCUCCAUCGCGCAGCAGGACUACGACUACGCCGCCGUCUACGUCGGCGCCGCCGCGGAGUACCCGCAGGUGUGCAAGGCGCUGUUCCGGCGCCAGAGGCCCGGGGCGUACCCGGCCGACCUCGCCGCCAGGGAGGAGGCGCUCAAACAGCUCUGCUCUGUCUCGCUCGACAUCAUCUCCCUCCUCAGCGCAACCAGCUGA